Canis lupus familiaris (dog) is the source of this 1257-nucleotide long non-coding RNA. RefSeq lists it as uncharacterized. The record is from RefSeq and is a predicted model, not a curated record. The transcript has 3 exons. NCBI's taxonomy places the organism in Eukaryota, Metazoa, Chordata, Mammalia, Carnivora, Canidae.
CCCAGUGGUUCAAAAUGGUCAUGAUAUAUCCAUUCUGGGCUUUGGUGCAGGUGUCUGUUGUAAUGUGAUCUUUCUUUGUCUUGAGGGACUUUGACAUCCUCAUUUCCCACUUGGAGCAUCAUGCAAUUUGAGUGUACACCGAGCUGAAAAGUGAUUCCUGUAAGGGGGAUUCAGUUUCUCCUUCACAUGUUUUCAGAGCAGUCAGAAUGUUUUCCUUCCCACAGAUAUGGAACACAGGAGGCUACUUGUUGAUAGGUUUUAUGACUGAUGAGGCUAACACUGCCUUACUUGCUACUCCGUUUUGUAUUUUCACGGGUGGGAAGAGGUUCAGGGAGCAAGUUAGAAAACCGUGGAAAUCUUUCAAUCAGAAAACUGUCCUCUCCUCUAAUCUUUCUUGUUACUUCCUCAUCAGACCCUCACUUUCUGUUCCAGAGUUCUUAGAUGAUUAACUACUCUCACUUUUGAAAACCAGAGAUGUGAGAGAGAUCACACUUGAGAUUUUAUUAUUACCUUUGAUUUUGCAAAUUAGUUCACAUGGGUAGGAAGGUCUGUGAAGAUCAAUAUGUGUUUUAUAAAGUCACACGGUGGUUGGUGGUUACUCGGAUCUAUGUCUUACGGUCAGUCUGCUCCAUGUAUUUAAAUUGUCCAUUAGGAAUCUGGAGCAACAGCCCUAGCCUCCUAAGUCCUGAAGGGGUGAAGGAUUGUGUGCCACUCUCUCUGGAGCCACUUCUGAAGUUGCAAAGGCGGUCAGCUGAGACUUUAACCCUACCAAAAACUGGGAUCCAGUUUCCCUGGGUGAGCCCCAGGAACCCACAAGCCUUUCUCUUCGAUGAUGCCUAGACCCUGCUCAUACCCUGCAAAGCAUUUUACAUGGAAUUCUACCCAGAGCAUCAGCUACCAACUGAGUCAUCCAACAUGCCUCACUGAGGAGUCUACUGGUUACUCUGACUGCUGGCAAGAUAUGCAGGCCCCAAAAGUAGACCAUUAUGAGUAAAUCCUAUAUCCUGGAAAAUAAUUUUAUUCUUCUUUGUGGCAAUGCAAACCAAGUUAGAGCUCAGGUUCCACUCUGCUAUUCCUCCCACUAACCCAUCUACGCAGCUUCCUGGGGAGUUAUUUUACCUGUGACCACUUUCGUUCAUGCAAUGAAUUUAGCAGACGCUUGUUGAAGGCCUCCUUUGUUCCAGAAGCUUUGCCAUGUGCUCCCUUAUUGCCUACAGAUUCUAAGAGCAGGUACUCUGAAAUUUUGGGAUUAAAAUU